GAUGAACGCCAGCGGCAGGCCUAAUACAUGCAAGUCGAGGGGCAGCGGGAGUAGCAAUACUUGCCGGCGACCGGCGCACGGGUGCGUAACACGUAUACAAUCUGCCCUUAACAGGGGGAUAGCCCGGAGAAAUCCGGAUUAAUACCCCAUAACACAAGAAACGGCAUCGUUUUUUGUUGAAAGUUCCGACGGUUAAGGACGAGUAUGCGUCUGAUUAGUUAGUUGGUGAGGUAACGGCUCACCAAGACCACGAUCAGUAGGGGAUCUGAGAGGAUUAACCCCCACACGGAUACUGAGACACGGAUCCGACGCCUACGGGAGGCAGCAGUAAGGAAUAUUGGACAAUGCCCGCAAGGGUGAUCCAGCCAUGCCGCGUGCAGGAAGACGGCCCUAUGGGUUGUAAACUGCUUUUAUACAAGAGAAAACCCCCUUACGUGUAAGGGGCUGAUAGUAUUGUAAGAAUAAGCAUCGGCUAACUUCGUGCCAGCAGCCGCGGUAA
Molecule: ribosomal RNA, 499 nt
Filed under: uncultured bacterium
Lineage: Bacteria
Description: partial 16S ribosomal RNA
Rfam family: Bacterial small subunit ribosomal RNA
Source: RNAcentral